AACGAACGCUGGCGGCAUGCCUAACACAUGCAAGUCGAACGAGACCUUCGGGUCUAGUGGCGCACGGGUGCGUAACGCGUGGGAACCUGCCCUUAGGUUCGGAAUAACUCCCCGAAAGGGGUGCUAAUACCGGAUAAUGUCUUCGGACCAAAGAUUUAUCGCCUUUGGAUGGGCCCGCGUUGGAUUAGCUAGUUGGUAGGGUAAAAGCCUACCAAGGCGACGAUCCAUAGCUGGUCUGAGAGGAUGAUCAGCCACACUGGGACUGAGACACGGCCCAGACUCCUACGGGAGGCAGCAGUAGAGAAUAUUGGACGAGGGGCGAAAGCCUGAUCCAGCAAUGCCGCGUGAGUGAUGAAGGCCUUAGGGUUGUAAAGCUCUUUUACCCGGGAUGAUAAUGACAGUACCGGGAGAAUAAGCUCCGGCUAACUACGUG
This 433-nucleotide ribosomal RNA is filed under the name uncultured bacterium. RNAcentral describes it as "partial 16S ribosomal RNA". It matches the Rfam family "Bacterial small subunit ribosomal RNA", at positions 29 to 507 of the family's 1533-position model. The record is from RNAcentral.